GCGGCGGACGGGUUAGUAACGCGUGGGAAUAUACCCGACACUAAGGAAUAGCCUCUGGAAACGGAGAGUAAUACCUUAUACGCCCUUCGGGGGAAAGAUUUAUCGGUGACGGAUUAGCCCGCGUUAGAUUAGAUAGUUGGUGGGGUAAUGGCCUACCAAGUCUACGAUCUAUAGCUGGUUUUAGAGGAUGAUCAGCAACACUGGGACUGAGACACGGCCCAGACUCCUGCGGGAGGCAGCAGUGGGGAAUCUUGGACAAUGGGCGCAAGCCUGAUCCAGCCAUGCCGCGUGAGUGAUGAAGGCCUUAGGGUCGUAAAGCUCUUUCGCCAGAGAUGAUAAUGACAGUAUCUGGUAAAGAAACCCCGGCUAACUCCGUGCCAGCAGCCGCGGUAAUACGGAGGGGGUUAGCGUUGUUCGGAAUUACUGGGCGUAAAGCGCGCGUAGGCGGAUUAGUAAGUUAGAGGUGAAAUCCCGGGGCUCAACCCCGGAACUGCCUUUAAUACUGCUAGUCUUGAGUUCGAGAGAGGUGAGUGGAAUUCCGAGUGUAGAGG
RNAcentral lists this ribosomal RNA (551 nucleotides) under Thalassobius sp. AmSamDD57. RNAcentral's name for it is "bacterial SSU rRNA". It matches the Rfam family "Bacterial small subunit ribosomal RNA", at positions 95 to 681 of the family's 1533-position model. Lineage: Bacteria; Pseudomonadati; Pseudomonadota; Alphaproteobacteria; Rhodobacterales; Roseobacteraceae. The record is from RNAcentral.